RNAcentral lists this ribosomal RNA (254 nucleotides) under uncultured bacterium. RNAcentral describes it as "partial 16S ribosomal RNA". It matches the Rfam family "Bacterial small subunit ribosomal RNA", at positions 524 to 776 of the family's 1533-position model. The record is from RNAcentral.
UACGUAGGUGGCAAGCGUUGUUCGGAUUUACUGGGCGUAAAGGGCGCGUAGGCGGCCACCGCAAGUCGGUUGUGAAAUCUCUGGGCUUAACCCAGAAAGGUCAACCGAUACUGCGGGGCUAGAGUGCAGAAGGGGCAACUGGAAUUCUCGGUGUAGCGGUGAAAUGCUUAGAUAUGACAUAGAACACCAAUUGCGAAGGCAGCUUACUACACAGUUAUUGACGCUGAGGCACGAAAGCGUGGGGAUCAAACAGG